AGUGAACGCUGGCGGUAGGCCUAACACAUGCAAGUCGAACGGCAGCACAGUAAGAGCUUGCUCUUACGGGUGGCGAGUGGCGGACGGGUGAGGAAUACAUCGGAAUCUACUUUUUCGUGGGGGAUAACGUAGGGAAACUUACGCUAAUACCGCAUACGACCUACGGGUGAAAGCAGGGGAUCUUCGGACCUUGCGCGAUUGAAUGAGCCGAUGUCGGAUUAGCUAGUUGGCGGGGUAAAGGCCCACCAAGGCGACGAUCCGUAGCUGGUCUGAGAGGAUGAUCAGCCACACUGGAACUGAGACACGGUCCAGACUCCUACGGGAGGCAGCAGUGGGGAAUAUGGGACAAUGGGCGCAAGCCUGAUCCAGCCAUACCGCGUGGGUGAAGAAGGCCUUCGGGUUGUAAAGCCCUUUUGUUGGGAAAGAAAAGCAGCAGGUUAAUACCCAGCUGUUCUGACGGUACCCAAAGAAUAAGCACCGGCUAACUUCGUG
This 492-nucleotide ribosomal RNA is filed under the name uncultured bacterium. RNAcentral describes it as "partial 16S ribosomal RNA". It matches the Rfam family "Bacterial small subunit ribosomal RNA", at positions 29 to 507 of the family's 1533-position model. The record is from RNAcentral.